Molecule: long non-coding RNA, 136 nt
Organism: Etheostoma spectabile (orangethroat darter)
Lineage: Eukaryota; Metazoa; Chordata; Actinopteri; Perciformes; Percidae
Exons: 3
Source: RefSeq, a predicted model, not a curated record
UGUGUGUGUAUAAGGGACAUACUGCUCCACCUUUCGCGUUUUUUGCUGUCACAUGAUAAACUCACAGGGGGUGCUAAUGUUGCUAAUGGGUAUCGUAGCCUCCCGGCCCCUGCAACACUGAAGAAGGAAACAUGGA